Long non-coding RNA from Actinia tenebrosa (Australian red waratah sea anemone), 437 nucleotides. RefSeq lists it as uncharacterized. The record is from RefSeq and is a predicted model, not a curated record. Lineage: Eukaryota; Metazoa; Cnidaria; Anthozoa; Actiniaria; Actiniidae.
UGCUAUAGGUUUACCGUCUAUAUGCUGACUAAUUGGCAACUGCCUUGAUGUUAAUCAAUGUCAAUAUUGCGAAGUCAUUAGGAGGGGGCGGAGAUAGAUUAUCACAUGACACAAUUAAAGUCUACGCAUGCUCUAUUUUGCUGACUGCUGUUAUUCAAGACUGAGUCGGAUUAGAAAUUCUAAUUUCUUUGUAAAAAAGAAAAGGUGACAAGGAUUUCCAAGAAAUAUUAAUAUAAUGGCCCGUAGCUUAUUUUUACGAACUACAACAUGCUUUGGUUCAGCACUGAAAGCAGUAUUCUCUGUAACCGAAGAUCAGUGCUAAGGAAGGAAAACAGCGCUUCAAAAACAAGCCAAGAUUCCUCAAGCUGAUUGUCAAGUUAUAUGAAAUGUUUUGGCUCCAAAGACUACUACGAAUAAACUUAAAGUACAGAGAAGUU